AUACGGAGGAUGCGAGCGUUAUCCGGAUUUAUUGGGUUUAAAGGGUGCGUAGGCGGCCUUGUAAGUCAGCGGUGAAAUUUUGCAGCUUAACUGUAAAAGUGCCGUUGAUACUGUGAGGCUAGGAUUUGGUUGCUGUGGGUGGAAUGUGUGGUGUAGCGGUGAAAUGCUUAGAGAUCACACAGAAUAUCGAUUGCGAAGGCAGCUCACAAAGCCAAGAUUGACGCUGUGGCACGAAAGUGUGGGGAUCAAACAGGAUUAGAUACCCUGGUAGUCCACACUGUAAACGAUGAUAGCUCGCUGUCGGCGAUAUACAGUCGGUGGCCAAGCGAAAGCGAUAAGUUAUCCACCUGGGGAGUACGACCGCAAGGUUGAAACUCAAAGGAAUUGACGGGG
This 393-nucleotide ribosomal RNA is filed under the name uncultured bacterium. Its description in RNAcentral is "partial 16S ribosomal RNA". It matches the Rfam family "Bacterial small subunit ribosomal RNA", at positions 523 to 918 of the family's 1533-position model. The record is from RNAcentral.